CAGGCUCGAGCCCGUACGAGAGCCGUCUCACCGUUUGACCCAACACAAACGGCUCGGGAGCUUUUGUCUUUCGAUCCUCUGGGAUCGCGAGCAGGGCGCCCACCUUCUUAUGAAGGGAUCAAAGCUAGAGGCGGUACCGGCGGGCUGGAGCCUCU
Molecule: non-coding RNA, 155 nt
Filed under: Solirubrobacterales bacterium 70-9
Lineage: Bacteria; Bacillati; Actinomycetota; Thermoleophilia; Solirubrobacterales
Also listed under: 1 other name
Description: 6S RNA
Rfam family: 6S / SsrS RNA
About the family: E. coli 6S RNA was the first non coding RNA to be sequenced, but its function was unknown until recently. It consists of 184 nucleotides that fold into an extended hairpin structure with a large single-stranded internal bulge.
Source: RNAcentral